This is a long non-coding RNA of Branchiostoma floridae (Florida lancelet), 1469 nucleotides long. RefSeq lists it as uncharacterized. The transcript is spliced from 3 exons. The record is from RefSeq and is a predicted model, not a curated record. Lineage: Eukaryota; Metazoa; Chordata; Leptocardii; Amphioxiformes; Branchiostomatidae.
AACCCCGUCAUUCGUCUGAGGUGAUUAGGACUUGGCUCGCAGCGUCCCAGCACAGAACAACAUCGCGACCGCUUGAGACAACAGUCCAGGAUCUUAGUGGUGCCAUCAACCCCGGAACAAGUUAAGUGCUUUUGUGUCUUAUGGGGUUAAAAUGGUAACAUCUUGCAGAUAUGGACUGGGACUAACUUGUCAUAGCCACGAUAGAAAGUCAAUGAAUUGAGUGUGUUUUGUUGACAUACCGAGGGAUGUUUCUGGUAGAUAUUCGGACGUGCAUUUUGUAAAUGGAGGCUCCUUUUGCAGUCAAGCUAGGCUUCAGUCCGUUUCCGUGGUGUACAUGCCUGGUGUGUGGCUGAUUUUUGUUUCUGUUGGUUUCUGUGGCUGUGUUGCCGGGAGUGUAUUUGGUCGUAAAAUUAUUCUGUUGUUUACAAAACAGGGUCUUCCCUGGUUCACCAUCUGUUGUAAUUUCUGUUUUAUGUCAUGGUCAGUGGUUGUCGGGAACCUAGACCAUUACAUAAUCUGCUUUGUGUCGCUCUCUUGGGUCCCGAACCAAGAGAACAACACAGGCCAGAAAGGACGACAGGUGGUUGAAGAACCUAUUUGAUAUUAGUAGUUAAUUCCUGUAGAAAUACUCGACCUCUCGGCGUAAACACAGUCACAGAAACCGAAUCAGCCAUUCAUCGGGCUUGUAUACCGCAGAAACAGACUGAAACAGCCAUAGCUCUCGAAAUUUAAACUGACACAAACGUCAACAUUACUUGGGAUUUCAUUGAAGCACACUCAAUCGUUACUACACAUAAAUUCAUCCCACUGUUUCCAUGAUAAAUCUAGAACGGAAAUUUUAAUCACAAACCAAGUUAACUUUCUGUGCUUUAAGUUAAGUCUAAGGUAUAUUUCCUAUAUUUCUGAGCCAAAAUGAUUCAUUUUCGUUUUGUCUUUUCUACCGAGGAUCAUCGCACCGUAAGAAGAAAUGUCCGGACGUGGAAAGGGAGGCGAGGACUGACGAAGGAAGGUACCGGACGUGACUGAAUGGAGAUUCACAGUCUUCUGACACAUAUGACAAGGAUCUUAGUGAUGCCAUCAAGCCCGGAUCAACUGCAGCCGCAAUGUUUAAGUUAAGUACAUAAUAUGUGUCUUCUGGGGUUAAAAUGGUAACAUCUUGCAGAUAUGGACUGGGACUGACUUGUCAUAGCCACGAUAGGCAGUCAAUGAAUUGAGUGUGUUUUGUUGACAUACCGAGGGAUGUUUCUGGUAGAUAUUCGGACGUGCAUUUUGUAAAUGGAGGCUCCUUUUGCAGUCAAGCUAGGCUUCAGUCCGUUUCCGUGGUGUACAUGCCUGGUGUGUGGCUGAUUUUUGUUUCUGUUGGUUUCUGUGGCUGUGUUGCCGGGAGUGUAUUUGGUCGUAAAAUUAUUCUGUUGUUUACAAAACAGGGUCUUCCCUGGUUCACCAUCUGUUGUAAUUUCUGUUUUAUA